RNAcentral lists this microRNA precursor (79 nucleotides) under Ascaris suum (pig roundworm). Its description in RNAcentral is "microRNA asu-mir-43a precursor". Its record names the gene asu-mir-43a. The record is from miRBase by way of RNAcentral. Lineage: Eukaryota; Metazoa; Nematoda; Chromadorea; Rhabditida; Ascarididae.
CCCGGCGAUAGUAAGUACUGCGAUAUGCUGCAAGAACACAAACACAUAUCACAGUCUACUUGCUGUCUCCGGUUCGCUG